Molecule: ribosomal RNA, 526 nt
Filed under: uncultured Vagococcus sp.
Lineage: Bacteria; Bacillati; Bacillota; Bacilli; Lactobacillales; Enterococcaceae
Description: bacterial SSU rRNA
Rfam family: Bacterial small subunit ribosomal RNA
Source: RNAcentral
CGCCCUUAGAGUUUGAUCAUGGCUCAGGACGAACGCUGGCGGCGUGCCUAAUACAUGCAAGUCGAACGCAGCUUGCUUUGGUAAGAUGAGUGGCGAACGGGUGAGUAACACGUGGGUAACCUGCCUAUCAGAGGGGGAUAACACUUGGAAACAGGUGCUAAUACCGCAUAGAUUUCUUCCGCAUGAAAAGAGAGGAAAGACGUACGUGUCACUGAUAGAUGGACCCGCGGUGCAUUAGCUAGUUGGUGAGGUAACGGCUCACCAAGGCCAUGAUGCAUAGCCGACCUGAGAGGGUGAUCGGCCACACUGGGACUGAGACACGGCCCAGACUCCUACGGGAGGCAGCAGUAGGGAAUCUUCGGCAAUGGACGAAAGUCUGACCGAGCAACGCCGCGUGAGUGAAGAAGGUUUUCGGAUCGUAAAACUCUGUUGUUAGAGAAGAAUAGGUAGGAGUGACCUCCUGCCAUGACGGUAUCUAACCAGAAAGCCACGGCUAACUACAUGCCAACAGCCGCGGUAAUACGUA